GACGAACGCUGGCGGCGUGCUUAACACAUGCAAGUCGAGCGAGGCCCUUCCUUCGGGAAGGAGCCCUAGCGGCGAACGGGUGAGUAACACGUGGGCAACCUGCCCCUAGCACUGGGAUAACUCCGGGAAACCGGGGCUAAUACCGGAUAUGACCUUUGAGGGCAUCCUCUUUGGUGUAAAGGAUUCUGGCUAGGGAUGGGCCCGCGGCCUAUCAGCUUGUUGGUGGGGUAACGGCCUACCAAGGCGACGACGGGGAGCCGGCCUGAGAGGGCGACCGGCCACACUGGGACUGAGACACGGCCCAGACUCCUACGGGAGGCAGCAGUGGGGAAUAUUGCACAAUGGCGAAAGCCUGAUGCAGCGACGCCGCGUGAGGGAUGACUGCCUUC
RNAcentral lists this ribosomal RNA (389 nucleotides) under uncultured bacterium. RNAcentral's name for it is "bacterial SSU rRNA". It matches the Rfam family "Bacterial small subunit ribosomal RNA", at positions 28 to 419 of the family's 1533-position model. The record is from RNAcentral.